Molecule: unclassified non-coding RNA, 351 nt
Filed under: soil metagenome
Description: partial contains 5.8S ribosomal RNA, internal transcribed spacer 2, and large subunit ribosomal RNA
Rfam family: 5.8S ribosomal RNA (bases 1-120)
Source: RNAcentral
GAUGAAGAACGCAGCGAAAUGCGAUAAGUAGUGUGAAUUGCAGAAUUCAGUGAAUCAUCGAAUCUUUGAACGCACAUUGCGCCCUCUGGUAUUCCGGAGGGCAUGCCUGUUCGAGCGUCAUUAAAACUACUCAAGCUAAGGUUUUUUUACCUUCUGCUUGGUCUUGGGUUUGAGGAUUCAAAAUCCUCUCUCCGAAAUCCAGUGGCGAAUUGUUUGAGCUGUAGACGUAGUAAAUCAUUCUACCCGUUGCAAGCGAGAAUAAUAUUCAGCCAUAACCCCCAUACUUUUCUAGUUUGACCUCGGAUCAGGUAGGGAUACCCGCUGAACUUAAGCAUAUCAAUAAGCGGAGGA